GGGGCAUUGACAACGCUGUGUAAUCGUCCACCAUGACCUCAAAUAUUUGGCCGCCAUAAGUGUACUCCACAUAUAAUUGCUUAGGUUCUCCAGGACAAGGAUCACAGAAGCCCAUGAUGCCCGACUUUUUUACACCCUCAUGAAGCUUCAAUUGCCCAGAAUCAUUAACCAGGAAAUUUAGAGGCACUGUAACAUCAAUGACUUCAGAAGCUAAUUCAUCAUUUACUUCUUUUAAUACUUCUCCUUUCUUCAAAGCUUUU
RNAcentral lists this unclassified non-coding RNA (260 nucleotides) under Hevea brasiliensis (rubber tree). Lineage: Eukaryota; Viridiplantae; Streptophyta; Magnoliopsida; Malpighiales; Euphorbiaceae. The record is from RNAcentral.